GGCGGCGUGCCUAAUACAUGCAAGUAGAACGCUGAAGCUUGGUGCUUGCACCGAGCGGAUGAGUUGCGAACGGGUGAGUAACGCGUAGGUAACCUGCCUGGUAGCGGGGGAUAACUAUUGGAAACGAUAGCUAAUACCGCAUAAGAGUAGAUGUUGCAUGACAUUUGCUUAAAAGGUGCAAUUGCAUCACUACCAGAUGGACCUGCGUUGUAUUAGCUAGUUGGUGAGGUAACGGCUCACCACGGCGACGAUACAUAGCCGACCUGAGAGGGUGAUCGGCCACACUGGGACUGAGACACGGCCCAGACUCCUACGGGAGGCAGCAGUAGGGAAUCUUCGGCAAUGGACGGAAGUCUGACCGAGCAACGCCGCGUGAGUGAAGAAGGUUUUCGGAUCGUAAAGCUCUGUUGUAAGAGAAGAAACGAGUGUGAGAGUGGAAAGUUUC
RNAcentral lists this ribosomal RNA (445 nucleotides) under Streptococcus sp. oral taxon C08. Its description in RNAcentral is "bacterial SSU rRNA". It matches the Rfam family "Bacterial small subunit ribosomal RNA", at positions 38 to 469 of the family's 1533-position model. Lineage: Bacteria; Bacillati; Bacillota; Bacilli; Lactobacillales; Streptococcaceae. The record is from RNAcentral.